GUUCUACACGCUUCUUAUCAUUCACUCUUUGUUCAGAGCGAGCUUAGGAGAAGGUAUUCACUUUAUCCAGAGAAUAUUUGCAGCGUUCUAAAAUGAAGCAAGCCAUCCUGAUCCUACUUGUCGUUGUGAUAGCAGUUGGCUUCCCAGCUGCAGAUUCGAAGAACUUCAAGUUAGAGAGGCAAAUAAGAAAUACAUUUUGCAAAUCCUCUUCUGCUUGCAAUGGAGGAUAUAAGUGUUGUGACUGGCCUUGGGCCGGUCAGCUAUGCGAACCAAAAAACACAGUUUGCGACGAACUCAAGUAGGGAGAUUAGCUGCAUCUGGAGCCCUGGCAUAUCAUUUUCGAUGCAGCAGACCGUCUGCCCGUUCUAUCGACUGUGAAAUUGAAAGAAAACGUUGUCACUAGGCAA
Lineus longissimus is the source of this 407-nucleotide long non-coding RNA. RefSeq lists it as uncharacterized. The record is from RefSeq and is a predicted model, not a curated record. Lineage: Eukaryota; Metazoa; Nemertea; Pilidiophora; Heteronemertea; Lineidae. The transcript has 4 exons.